CCCUGCCCCGCCCCCACCAGCGCCCGAACCGCCCCCAGCCGCUCUCACAGGUUUGUUAUGUAACCGCCGGGCCAGCCCCGCCCUCAGGGUGGGCUGAGGUGCGGCUCCCUGGAGACCCCGCCCGCUAGCCGGGAGCCAGCGGCGCAGUGCGAGUUCAGCCCGCUUUCUUCGCGCUCCGCGUCAAAUCUCUCCAGCUCUGUUCUCGCAUCCCGGGUUUAGAUCCCGCAGAGUUAAGUAUCCCGCGUGUGAAGGGAUGAACUGAGACUCCCAGAGGGCAUAACUGAUGGAGGCACGAAGAUGUCUGCUCUUCAGCUUUGCCAAGAUGGGCCACCUGUUUUAAAUCCAAAAGCUGGUAGGAGUUUCAGGUACACUGCAUUUGCUUCUGCUGUCCUAUUGCACUUGGACUUGGUGCAGCUAUGACCUAAUGCAGAAGACAAAGUAUGAAGCUACCAAACUGUCAGGGCCAGAACUAAGCCUGUAUAAUUGAUAGGAACCUUCUGGGUGCAUGAUGAGUGGAUCUUCUGAUAAGAUACAUUUAAAGUGUCCCCUGUUGGUGGCUUCUAAUAUGGGGCUAAGGAUGUGACCAAGAAUGGCCUGUAAUCCUGAAGCCUGCCAAGAUUGCAUCAUUGAAACAAUGCUUCCUACCAGGUGGAGAGAAAAUGCAGUAUUCUUAUCUGAGACGUAAUAGAGGCCAGAGUGCUGAACAACACUAUCCACCAGUUCCGUAGCCCCAUAGGGCUGGGGAAGCCACUGGUAUAUGGAACCUUACUGUACCCUGUUGAGGCUUAAACAUGUCAGUGGCCACUA
RNAcentral lists this long non-coding RNA (807 nucleotides) under Homo sapiens (human). RNAcentral's name for it is "HSALNT0362210". Lineage: Eukaryota; Metazoa; Chordata; Mammalia; Primates; Hominidae. The record is from RNAcentral.